RNAcentral lists this ribosomal RNA (500 nucleotides) under uncultured bacterium. Its description in RNAcentral is "partial 16S ribosomal RNA". It matches the Rfam family "Bacterial small subunit ribosomal RNA", at positions 28 to 507 of the family's 1533-position model. The record is from RNAcentral.
GACGAACGCUGGCGGCGUGCUUAACACAUGCAAGUCGAACGGGUCUGCCCUGUUUUUUGCGGGGUGGGUCAGUGGCGAACGGGUGAGUAACACGUGAGUAACCUGCCCCUCACUUCUGGAUAACCGCCUGAAAGGGUGGCUAAUACGGGGUGUUCUGGCUGUGCCGCAUGGUGUGGCUGGGAAAGAUUCACUUUUGUGGUGUUUUGGUGGGGGAUGGGCUCGCGGCCUAUCAGCUUGUUGGUGGGGUGAUGGCCUGCCAAGGCUUUGACGGGUAGCCGGCCUGGGAGGGUGGGCGGUCACACUGGGACUGAGAUACGGCCAAGACUCCUGCGGGAGGCAGCAGUGGGGGGUAUUGGACAAUGGGCGGAAGCCUGAUGCAGCGACGUCGCGUGAGGGAUGGAGGCCUUCGGGUUGUGAACCUCUUUCGCCGGUGAAGAAGGUCCUGCUCUUUGUGGUGGGGUUGACGGUAGCCGGGUUAUGAAGCGCCGGCUAACUACGUG